CGGAUCGUAAAACUCUGUUGUUAGAGAAGAACAAGGAUGAGAGUAACUGUUCAUCCCUUGACGGUAUCUAACCAGAAAGCCACGGCUAACUACGUGCCAGCAGCCGCGGUAAUACGUAGGUGGCAAGCGUUGUCCGGAUUUAUUGGGCGUAAAGCGAGCGCAGGCGGUUUCUUAAGUCUGAUGUGAAAGCCCCCGGCUCAACCGGGGAGGGUCAUUGGAAACUGGGAGACUUGAGUGCAGAAGAGGAGAGUGGAAUUCCAUGUGUAGCGGUGAAAUGCGUAGAUAUAUGGAGGAACACCAGUGGCGAAGGCGGCUCUCUGGUCUGUAACUGACGCUGAGGCUCGAAAGCGUGGGGAGCAAACAGGAUUAGAUACCCUGGUAGUCCACGCCGUAAACGAUGAGUGCUAAGUGUUGGAGGGUUUCCGCCCUUCAGUGCUGCAGCUAACGCAUUAAGCACUCCGCCUGGGGAGUACGACCGCAAGGUUGAAACUCAAAGGAAUUGA
This 503-nucleotide ribosomal RNA is filed under the name bacterium. RNAcentral describes it as "bacterial SSU rRNA". It matches the Rfam family "Bacterial small subunit ribosomal RNA", at positions 419 to 913 of the family's 1533-position model. The record is from RNAcentral.